Passer domesticus (house sparrow) is the source of this 3247-nucleotide long non-coding RNA. RefSeq lists it as uncharacterized. The record is from RefSeq and is a predicted model, not a curated record. NCBI's taxonomy places the organism in Eukaryota, Metazoa, Chordata, Aves, Passeriformes, Passeridae. The transcript has 2 exons.
CCGUCGUCACAGGGUUCGCCUCGGUUGAGGGGAGAAAAGGUGAUGUGGCAUUGCUGAAACCAGAGUGGACCCCCGCUCCUCCUCCCUAUUCCCCGACUCACUGCAACUCCUCAGCCGUUGCCAAAGGCUACCCGGGUCACACUCUUAAAUAGAAAAGGCAGAGGCUUCAUCAUCAACUCCUGUAAUACCUCCACAGGGCUCAUGAGAGCAGCGAUCACAGUCCAUCGGCCAGUGUGAGACGGGGAGUUAUGCAUACUCCAAAUGGAUUGCCUAAAGCCCACAAACGAGAAUAAGCAUGCUUAGAGUUGCACCAGAGAUUGAGAUCUCAGCAAUAACAACUGCUUCUGUCCACUAGUCACUGCUCACCUUGACCACUUCGCCUUGGCUGCUGCUAGAUGGCUUUACUUCCUAAAAAUAAAGAACAAUGCAGUAACACAGAGUCACCAUUUACACUCCCCCUGCACAGACAAACAGGGACUGACCUGCUCAGGGGAACCUACUCACCUGGGAUGGGGUGCUCUGCCAUGGAUUUUAUCCACCUGCAUCUGAAAGAACGUCAGGACAAAUGUCAAAGGGCUGCAGGAUAACUUCACAGCUCCAGACACCUUGGGUCAACCUAGGAAUACCAUCUAGAGUCCAACUACACCCCACACUACAAAUUUCAAGCCCCCAGGAUUUGUCCUAUCACACCAGACUAUGCAGCAGGGCAGAGCAGCUCCGGCACAAAUAUGUGCAGACACCCGUGACACAGGACAGGACAUGACAAACAAAGGGGACACAACAGGGACAGAAAUCUCAGGGCAAGAAGGACUGCAAGGACCGAGAGAUUGCAAAAUGAGAGGACUGAGGUGAGACCGAUGGUGCGCUGACGAUGCUCAGAGAGCCCUGGAGUAAGAAGAUGCUAACUGAAUGAUUUAUUGCAAGAACUGCAAAGAUGGAUGCCCGAGAAUCCUACUGUCAGAAUCCUCUACCUAUCCUUGCUUUCUUACAAGUCUGAAUCCGCAAUAAUGGAUCCUUGCAGGCUGCAGCUGUCCCUUCAGCUCAGAACAAGACCUUCAAAGACAUCUGACCGGAAGCUCCUAAAGAGAGAUGCGCUUCUCAUGCCUAUCAGAGAGCCUGAGACAAAAGUCCUAUGGCAUUGGUGCCAGGCCAAGAAAUGCAGAGAUCACAGAUGCCAAGAAUGAUGCCAGGGUUUCUGACAGGCCACUCAAAGGGCUAAGGUAAAAGACAUGAGACAUACAAACAACACAUAAUGCACAAUAGACAAGUGACACAAUACACAGCGGGACUGCUCUGCCCUCCUGACCACAGCACUGGGAUCAAAAGUGACACUUUGCUUUUGUGUGGCCGUAAGAUGACUUUUCCUGGAUAGCCUCAUCUCCAAGCCUGACUCAAAAAUCCCUCCCAGGGAGUCCUGAUGCAGCAGCCCCCUUCCAUCCCCUCUGUGAGUCAUAGCCCUCAACUUAUCUCUUGCAUGUCCAGGAAUGAGAAUCCACAUCAGGUGCAAAGGAAGGCCACCAGGCUGUCUGGGAGGUUCCUGCUGUCACCGGGCUGUCAUCUCCUAGUAUGUCAGGAUAAAGAAAACCAGACAUCAGUGCAUCAUCUUAGCAGUACAUCGACCAAAACCCAACAAGUCUGCUACUCACCGCCUCCUAAGAGUGACCGGCUCCUCGGGCCACACGCUUCAGCUGUGCUCCGAGACUGACGCUGUCGUCUCAGAGGAGACGAGGUGAUGUAGCACAGCUGAGAACUGAGCGGACCCCGGCUCCUCCUCGAUACCUCCCCGACUCACCACAACUCCUUGGUCAUUCCUGAGGGCUACUCAGAAGCAACCUUUAAAUAGAAAAUUUCAAGGCUUCAUCACAGGGUCCUGCAAUACCUCCACAGGGCUCACAAGAGCAGCAAACCUGGUCCAUCGGCCGGUUGAUGACAGGGGCUUGGCAUAACCUGAGCAGAUUGCCUAAGGCACACAAACAAGAACAGAGACAGAGUUGCACCGGAACUUGAGACCCCAGCAAUAACAGCUGCUUCUGCCCACUGCUCACCUUGCCCACUUGAACUUGACUGUUGCUAUAUGCCUUUACUUCCUAAAAUAAAGAAAAAGAAAAAUGCUGUAACACAGAGUCACCAUUUACACUCCCCCUGCACAGACAAACAGGGACUGACCUGCUCAGGGGAACCUACUCACCUGGGAUGGGGUGCUCUGCUAUGGAUUUUAUCCAUCUGCAUCUGAAAGAAAGUCAGGACAAAAGUCAAAGGGCUGCAGGACAACUUCACAGCUCUAGACAUCUUGGGUCAACCUAGGAAUACCAUCUAGAGUCCAACUACACCCCACACUACAAAUUUCAAGCCCCCAGGAUUUGUCCUAUCACACCAGACUAUGCAGCAGGGCAGAGCAGCUCCAACACAAAUAUGUGCAGACACCCGUGACACAGGACAGGACAAACAAUGGGGACACAACAGGAACAGAAAUCUCAGGGCAAGAGGAAUGACUGCAAGGACCGAGAGAAUGCAAAAUGAAAUGACUGAGGUGAGACCGAUGGUGAGCCGCUGAGGCUCAGAGAACCCUGGAGGAAGAAGAUGCUAACGGAUUUAUUUCUUCCAAGAACUGCAAAGAUGGAUGCCUGUAAAUCCUGUGGUCAGCAUCCUCUACCUAUGCGCAUAUUCAAGAAGACAUCACAGAUGCUAAGAAUGAUGCCAGUUUUCUGAACGACUCCUCAAAGGGCUACAGUGAAAGACAUGAGACACGCAAACACAUACAAUCUUAUGAACUCCAGGACAUUACAGCCCAUGGCUAGAAAAGAUGGAUGGUGAUAUGGCUGGGAGCAAGGCCUCAGAACAUGUCCUACUCGACGCUUCUGCGAUGUGACUCGGAAACACGGCCGAGCCCGCCAGUAAAAGAACAAAUGAUAUCGGCAUCAUGCAGAGAAGUGCGAGCGUUCAAGAACCUACGGCUGAUGCUUGUGGUAAGGGCCUCGAGGGGAAAGAGGCAGAGAUAUCUGAUCCGAGGGACCCCAAAGACACACUAGGUAACACAGUAUACACCGGACAACACAACACAGACUGGAACUGUUCUGCACUGCGCACCCUACAGCUGUUAGCAAAGGCGGUGGCCCCCAACUUAUCUUUUGGAUGACCGGUGAUGUGAGUCCAUGCUGGACCUGAAAUGAGUAUGCCUCAGAGCACCUCUGCCACAAUUGCCUGUUAACCUCUCAGUCAGCUGCAAUAAAGUAAACCAAAAACAACA